UACAGAGGUGGCAAGCGUUGUUCGGAAUUACUGGGCGUAAAGGGCGCGUAGGCGGCCUUCUAAGUCAGACGUGAAAUCCCCCGGCUUAACCUGGGAACUGCGUCUGAUACUGGGAGGCUUGAGUUUGGGAGAGGGACGCGGAAUUCCAGGUGUAGCGGUGAAAUGCGUAGAUAUCUGGAGGAACACCGGUGGCGAAGGCGGCGUCCUGGACCAACACUGACACUGAGGAGCGAAAGCCAGGGGAGCAAACGGG
RNAcentral lists this ribosomal RNA (253 nucleotides) under uncultured bacterium. Its description in RNAcentral is "partial 16S ribosomal RNA". It matches the Rfam family "Bacterial small subunit ribosomal RNA", at positions 524 to 776 of the family's 1533-position model. The record is from RNAcentral.